Molecule: long non-coding RNA, 788 nt
Organism: Musa acuminata AAA Group (dessert banana)
Lineage: Eukaryota; Viridiplantae; Streptophyta; Magnoliopsida; Zingiberales; Musaceae
Exons: 2
Source: RefSeq, a predicted model, not a curated record
GACACUUGACUCCACAUCACUAACUUGAUCGUCGGAGGGGUCGGGCCGAGCUUCCGACCCGACCUGUGUGCAGGAACGAAGACAAGGCGCCUCUCACCGGGCGCACAGGCGAAGAGCUCCCCGGAGAAGUUUGGUAGAUUCCACGUCAUUUAGACCCGAACCGAGCCACGUCGGCCCCGAGGCCACGUCAUUUAGAGCUCCCCGCGUCGGCCCCGAGCCCUUGAAAUGAUCCAAAAUGAUGCAGAGCUCAUGGGCUUGAAGUUAAUCCAAGCACCACUGGUUGAUGUAGAAAUUAGAGGAGUUCCUGCCCUAAGAUUCAUGGGAGACAUUGUCUGGAAGUGACAUUGUCUUGAACCGAAAGCCACAUGAAGAUCGACAUCUUGCAAGAGGCAAAGACCCGAAACUCUGAUAGCAUAAUAUCUGCUGCAUGGCAAGUAGUCGAUAGGCUUCGUAUCUGAUCGGGGUUUCAAAGCAGGUUAUUUAUGGAGCAGUUGAAAGGAAAAUGUUGCAUGCUGACUUUAUCCAACCCCUCUUUUUUCCCCCCAAAAAAGAUGUUUAUGCUGAAAUGUAGUACUGCUUGCCUGUGUGGCUGUGCUUGUUUAGCUGAUUAUUUGCAAAGUGAAGGGGAAGAUGGGAGGGAAUUUUGAUCUACAUGGUUAUCUGUUCUAGCUUUCUUAUCUACACAACUCAUGCAUUUCAUUCAUGAGACAAAUAUAUGAGAACGACUGUCUUCAAGGUGUAUUAUUUCCACUUCUGAUGCUUGCAAUGGUAAAGAUGAGUUGCCUGUA